CCUAGUAACGGCGAGUGAAGCGGCAACAGCUCAAAUUUGAAAUCUGGCCCUCGGGUCCGAGUUGUAAUUUGUAGAGGAUGCUUUUGGCGCGGUGCCUUCCGAGUUCCCUGGAACGGGACGCCUUAGAGGGUGAGAGCCCCGUACGGUUGGACACCAAGCCUCUGUAAAGCCCCUUCGACGAGUCGAGUAGUUUGGGAAUGCUGCUCUAAAUGGGAGGUAAAUUUCUUCUAAAGCUAAAUAUUGGCCAGAGACCGAUAGCGCACAAGUAGAGUGAUCGAAAGAUGAAAAGCACUUUGAAAAGAGGGUUAAAUAGCACGUGAAAUUGUUGAAAGGGAAGCGUUUGCGACCAGACCUUUUCUUAGCGGAUCAUCCGGUGUUAUCACCGGUGCACUUCGCCAAGUUGAGGCCAGCAUCGGUUUUCGUAGGGGGAUAAAAGCCUGGGGAAUGUGGCUCUUUCGGGAGUGUUAUAGCCUCUCGCAUAAUACCCUUAUGGGGACCGAGGACCGCGCUUUAUGCAAGGAUGCUGGCGUAAUGGUCGUCAACGACCCGUCUUGAAACACGGACCAAGGAGUCGAACAUUUGUGCGAGUGUUUGGGUGUUAAACCCUCACGCGUAAUGAAAGUGAACGGAGGUGAGAGCCCUUACGGGGGUGCAUCAUCGACCGAUCCUGAUGUCUUCGGAUGGAUUUGAGUAAGAGCAUAACUGUUCGGACCCGAAAGAUGGUGAACUAUGCGUGGAUAGGGUGAAGCCAGAGGAAACUCUGGUGGAGGCUCGCAGCGGUUCUGACGUGCAAAUCGAUCGUCAAAUCUGCGCAUGGGGG
RNAcentral lists this ribosomal RNA (820 nucleotides) under Xylariales sp. RNAcentral describes it as "partial large subunit ribosomal RNA". It matches the Rfam family "Eukaryotic large subunit ribosomal RNA", at positions 79 to 923 of the family's 3401-position model. Lineage: Eukaryota; Fungi; Ascomycota; Sordariomycetes; Xylariales. The record is from RNAcentral.